Molecule: long non-coding RNA, 159 nt
Organism: Bufo bufo (common toad)
Lineage: Eukaryota; Metazoa; Chordata; Amphibia; Anura; Bufonidae
Exons: 2
Source: RefSeq, a predicted model, not a curated record
ACAGGACAGGGACUGGUGGAAGUGUGAGGGAAUAUGGUCACUAGUGCAGGUACUAGGACGAGAAGAGAGGAGCCAGGGGAGGGACUGGAGGAGGUGUGAGGGAAUAGGGUCACUAGUGCAGGUACUAGGACGAGAAGAGAGGAGCCAGGGGAGAGACUG